RNAcentral lists this ribosomal RNA (831 nucleotides) under uncultured bacterium. RNAcentral's name for it is "bacterial SSU rRNA". It matches the Rfam family "Bacterial small subunit ribosomal RNA", at positions 27 to 848 of the family's 1533-position model. The record is from RNAcentral.
GGAUGAACGCUAGCUACAGGCUUAACACAUGGAAGUCGAGGGGAAACGACAUCGAAAGCUUGCUUUUGAUGGGCGUCGACCGGCGCACGGGUGAGUAACGCGUAUCCAACCUGCCCACCACUAGGGGAUAACCUUGCGAAAGUAAGACUAAUACCCAAUGAUAUCUCUAGAAGGCAUCAGAAAGAGAUUAAAGAUUUAUCGGUGAUGGAUGGGGAUGCGUCUGAUUAGCUUGUUGGCGGGGUAACGGCCCACCAAGGCUACGAUCAGUAGGGGUUCUGAGAGGAAGGUCCCCCACAUUGGAACUGAGACACGGUCCAAACUCCUACGGGAGGCAGCAGUGAGGAAUAUUGGUCAAUGGACGAGAGUCUGAACCAGCCAAGUAGCGUGCAGGAUGACGGCCCUAUGGGUUGUAAACUGCUUUUAUAAGGGAAUAAAGUGAGUCUCGUGAGACUUUUUGCAUGUACCUUAUGAAUAAGGACCGGCUAAUUCCGUGCCAGCAGCCGCGGUAAUACGGAAGGUCCGGGCGCUAUCCGGAUUUAUUGGGUUUAAAGGGAGCGUAGGCCGGAGAUUAAGCGUGUUGUGAAAUGUAGAUGCUCAACAUCUGCACUGCAGCGCGAACUGGUUUCCUUGAGUACGCACAAAGUGGGCGGAAUUCGUGGUGUAGCGGUGAAAUGCUUAGAUAUCACGAAGAACUCCGAUUGCGAAGGCAGCUCACUGGAGCGCAACUGACGCUGAAGCUCGAAAGUGCGGGUAUCGAACAGGAUUAGAUACCCUGGUAGUCCGCACGGUAAACGAUGGAUGCCCGCUGUUGGUCUGAAUAGGUCAGCGGCC